RNAcentral lists this long non-coding RNA (400 nucleotides) under Medicago truncatula (barrel medic). Its description in RNAcentral is "long non-coding RNA (MTRU_LNC001600)". The record is from RNAcentral. Lineage: Eukaryota; Viridiplantae; Streptophyta; Magnoliopsida; Fabales; Fabaceae.
UACUCGUUGCUCUCAAUAUUUGCAUGUUAUAAGGUGAAAGACAUAAGAGGUGUACACGUUUGGAGCGGAGAAAUUCAUCUGAAGAUGGACUCUUCCACUAGUGAAACUAGAAGUAGACAAUCAUAGUGACUCUUAGCUAUCUGGUAAGAGAUAGAGAAAUAAAGGGUUAUUGUUGCACCAAAUCAGUACAACUAUGGAUAUUUUGAGUGUUAUGUUUUGAUUGUGGCUGAAGAGAUACAAGACUAAAAAACAAGUAUUUUAAGGGAAGGAAGUAGUUGAGAGCAAGGAAACAUUUAGGAGGACUUAAAUGAUACUUCGGGGGUUAAAGAGGUUAUUGUGAACCUUGUGAAAAUAUCUAUAAGGUCAUAGUGUAAUUGGAUGCAAGUUCUUCAAGAGGGCG